This 253-nucleotide unclassified non-coding RNA is filed under the name uncultured Carnobacteriaceae bacterium. RNAcentral describes it as "contains 16S-23S intergenic spacer region". It matches the Rfam family "Bacterial small subunit ribosomal RNA", at positions 524 to 776 of the family's 1533-position model. Lineage: Bacteria; Bacillati; Bacillota; Bacilli; Lactobacillales; Carnobacteriaceae. The record is from RNAcentral.
GACAGAGGAUGCAAGCGUUGUCCGGAUUUAUUGGGCGUAAAGCGAGCGCAGGCGGUCUUUUAAGUCUGAUGUGAAAGCCCACGGCUCAACCGUGGAGGGUCAUUGGAAACUGGAAGACUUGAAUGCAGAAGAGGAAAGUGGAAUUCCAUGUGUAGCGGUGAAAUGCGUAGAUAUAUGGAGGAACACCAGUGGCGAAGGCGACUUUCUGGUCUGUAAUUGACGCUGAGGCUCGAAAGCGUGGGUAGCAAACAGG